CCUGGCUCACACCGGUUUAAACUCAGAUCAUGUAAAAUUUCAAAGGUCGAACAGACCUAAUUCAUUAGCUUYUUCACCAAUAAUUAAUUUUAAUCCAACAUCGAGGUCGCAAUCUUUUUUUUCGAUAAGAACUCUAAAAAAAAUUACGCUGUUAUCCCUAAGGUAAUUUAAUCUUUUGUCCAAAAUAAGGAUCAAUUUCUUACUAACCAGUAUUCAAAUAAAAAAAAAGUUCUUUAAAUUUUUCCAUCACCCCAAUAAAAUAAAUACAGACACAUUCAAACCCCCCUCCUAAACUUUAAACAAGCCUCAUAUAUCAAACUCUAUAGGGUCUUCUCGUCUUCAAUUUAAAUUUAAGCUUUCUCACUUAAAAAUAAAAUUUUAAUAAAUUUUUAUAAAGACAGUCACUUUUUCAUUAAACCCUUCAUCCCAGCUUCCAAUUAAAAAACUAUUGAUUAUGCUACCUUUGCACGGUCAAGAUACCGCGGCCAUUUAAAACAUCAGCGGGCAGGCCCGACCUGAAAAAACUUACAACAAGCCAUGUUUU
Molecule: ribosomal RNA, 544 nt
Filed under: Trigonopterus santubongensis
Lineage: Eukaryota; Metazoa; Arthropoda; Insecta; Coleoptera; Curculionidae
Description: partial 16S ribosomal RNA
Source: RNAcentral